RNAcentral lists this ribosomal RNA (484 nucleotides) under uncultured bacterium. RNAcentral's name for it is "partial 16S ribosomal RNA". It matches the Rfam family "Bacterial small subunit ribosomal RNA", at positions 30 to 507 of the family's 1533-position model. The record is from RNAcentral.
AUUGAACGCUGGCGGCAGGCCUAACACAUGCAAGUCGAGCGGAUGAAGGGAGCUUGCUCCUGGAUUCAGCGGCGGACGGGUGAGUAAUGCCUAGGAAUCUGCCUGGUAGUGGGGGAUAACGUCCGGAAACGGGCGCUAAUACCGCAUACGUCCUGAGGGAGAAAGUGGGGGAUCUUCGGACCUCACGCUAUCAGAUGAGCCUAGGUCGGAUUAGCUAGUUGGUGGGGUAAAGGCCUACCAAGGCGACGAUCCGUAACUGGUCUGAGAGGAUGAUCAGUCAAACUGGAACGGAGACACGGUCCAGACUCCUACGGGAGGGAGCAGGGGGGAAUAUUGGACAAUGGGCGAAGUCCUGAUCCAGCCAUGCCGCGUGUGUGAAGAAGGUCUUCGGAUUGUAAAGCACUUUAAGUUGGGAGGAAGGGCAGUAAGUUAAUACCUUGCUGUUUUGACGGUACCAACAGAAUAAGCACCGGCUAACUUCGUG